Molecule: long non-coding RNA, 623 nt
Filed under: Glycine max (soybean)
Lineage: Eukaryota; Viridiplantae; Streptophyta; Magnoliopsida; Fabales; Fabaceae
Description: long non-coding RNA (GMAX_LNC000791)
Source: RNAcentral
ACCUCAUUAUUUAAAACUUUAACUUGUUUACCUGUACUCCAUGUUUAAUAAAUUUAUAUCUUUUUAAGACCCAAAGUGUUAUCUUCAACCCUAGACGCGUUGCCCCUUUUUCGUAUGUGGAAAACUCUCACCGGCGCAACAAGCUUUGCACCAUAGGGUCCAAAUUCAUUUGCCUAUUCGUUCACCCGUUUCUUGUCCUUACAUUCCUUGCACCAACAACUUUGUCAUUGUUCAAUCCAGUCACUUAACGAACUGGAACAAAUGCAAAAGAAUUAAAUCAAGAGCAAGGACACGGGGCCAUUGAUCCAUUGAAUGAAGCAACGACAACACGUAAUGUGAGGCGUGGUUCGUGUGUGAAGAAAACAUGGAAGGUGAUGGCAGGAGAGGAAAACGAGGGAUAUGAUUAGGCAAUGAGUGGAACGAAGGGAUUGGUGUGGAUUUUGGGAUCUCUUUAUCCUGUAUUUCUUCUCUGGCUAAACUUAUUAUCUUUUGGAUGAUUUCUUGUUGACAUUUCAUAUUUAACUAUAUUAUUCUAUUUGUUAUACGUUUGCAAAACCAUAUCAGUCGAAGACACCUUUAUUUGAUUUUCCGAAAUUUCUAGUAAAAAUUUGAGGAUACAAACC